UUGGUGUGGUUGUUGCUGGCCCUCUCGGGGGCAUGUGCACACCCACCAUCCUCAUCUCUCCACCUGUGCACCUCUUGUAGACCUGGAUUGACUUUCCGAGGCAACUCGGUCGGGAAGAUUGCUGCGCUCUGUGAGCCAGCUUUCUUUGCAUGUCCAGGCCUAUGUUUUUCAUAUACCCCUAUAGAAUGUAACAGAAUGUAUCAUUGGGCCUUGUGCCUAUAAACCUUAUACAACUUUCAGCAACGGAUCUCUUGGCUCUCGCAUCGAUGAAGAACGCAGCGAAAUGCGAUAAGUAAUGUGAAUUGCAGAAUUCAGUGAAUCAUCGAAUCUUUGAACGCACCUUGCGCUCCUUGGUAUUCCGAGGAGCAUGCCUGUUUGAGUGUCAUUAAAUUCUCAACCUUAUUAACUUUUGUUGAUAAUGGAUUGGAUUGUGGGGGUUUCUUUUGCUGGCUUCUUCACAGAGAUCAGCUCCCCUUAAAUGCAUUAGCUGGUGCCCCGCGUGGACCAUCUAUUGGUGUGAUAAUUAUCUACGCCGUGGAUGUCUGCAAUUAUAUGGGUUUCGCACUGCUUCUAACCGUCUGUUCAUUCGGACAAUACAUGACAAUUUGACCUCAAAUCAGGUAGGACUACCCGCUGAACUUAAGCAUAUCAAUAAGCGGAGGAAAAGAAACUAACAAGGAUUCCCCUAGUAACUGCGAGUGAAGCGGGAAAAGCUCAAAUUUAAAAUCUGGCGGUCUCCGGCCGUCCGAGUUGUAAUCUARARAAGUGUUAUCCGCGCUGGACCGUGUACAAA
Molecule: ribosomal RNA, 793 nt
Filed under: uncultured fungus
Lineage: Eukaryota; Fungi
Description: eukaryotic LSU rRNA
Rfam family: 5.8S ribosomal RNA (bases 232-385)
Source: RNAcentral